Molecule: long non-coding RNA, 369 nt
Organism: Sapajus apella (tufted capuchin)
Lineage: Eukaryota; Metazoa; Chordata; Mammalia; Primates; Cebidae
Exons: 3
Source: RefSeq, a predicted model, not a curated record
CCUAAGGGAAAGGCGCACAGCGGGCAGCUGAGGCGCCAGACCACGCUGCCCAAGAGAGGCCAAGUCGCUCUGGCUCGGAGCGUGACAGCAGGCGAGGCUGGUUACCCUCAGAAAGAGAUAACUACACGCCCCCAGGGCAAAAACUGACCCCCCUCCCCCAGGUGGACUUGCAGACAAGAGCAACACCUUUAAGGCAGGUCACACUGGUGGUUUCUCCCUACCCUGGGCAGAAAAAUUCUGCCUGACCUUUCCCAUCUUCCUGAUGAUGUUAACAAACGACAGCCACUUACUUGGGGCACAGGAGGCGGCUCUACACAGGCCAAGAGCUACAGGCUACAGACUGAGCACAGAAAACCCUGCAGCUCCAGC